Molecule: non-coding RNA, 81 nt
Organism: Chiloscyllium plagiosum (whitespotted bambooshark)
Lineage: Eukaryota; Metazoa; Chordata; Chondrichthyes; Orectolobiformes; Hemiscylliidae
Source: the annotation of a RefSeq genome assembly
GGUAGUGUGGCCGAGUGGUCUAAGGCGCUGGAUUUAGACUCCAGUCUUGGUGGGCUGUGGGUUCGACUCCCACCGCUGCCA